GACUUAAAAUACAUCAAUAACCUCAAAACGCCUCUUGAAGCUCCGAGACGCGUUCCGAAGCAGCGCUGAAGGGAGGCAAUGAAGGGGGAGGGCGGCGGUAGUGGCUCGGCUGCGGUGGCGGUGGAAGGACGUCGUGCGGGUUGACUUCUGUUCCAUUUGCUUGUCUUGUGGCUGGCCGGCUGUUGGUGGCUGUGGCCUCUCUACUCAUCCACAUACAUCCUGCCACUCCACCACCACCUCCACUUGGGCUGCCGCCGCCGCCGUCUGCAUCAUUAGUAUUCAGGCGAUGUAGCUGGUGGCAGACGCAGCGCCCGGAAUCUCUCUCCAACCCUCACCACUGCACCCAGGACCCACCCACCACCCGACUACCCAGGUGCCAGAUGGAGGAGCUCGUUUCACAGGGGCGUCUUUGGGUGGCCGUGGCUCAUCUGUCCC
This is a long non-coding RNA of Eriocheir sinensis (Chinese mitten crab), 435 nucleotides long. RefSeq lists it as uncharacterized. The transcript has 3 exons. NCBI's taxonomy places the organism in Eukaryota, Metazoa, Arthropoda, Malacostraca, Decapoda, Varunidae. The record is from RefSeq and is a predicted model, not a curated record.